AAGGGGUAGAUUGAGGAGACUAGGU
Molecule: non-coding RNA, 25 nt
Filed under: Cricetulus griseus (Chinese hamster)
Lineage: Eukaryota; Metazoa; Chordata; Mammalia; Rodentia; Cricetidae
Source: RNAcentral